AAACGACUCUCGGCAACGGAUAUCUCGGCUCACGCAUCGAUGAAGAACGUAGCAAAAUGCGAUACUUGGUGUGAAUUGCAGAAUCCCGUGAACCAUCGAGUUUUUGAACGCAAGUUGCGCCCGAAGCCAUCCGGUCGAGGGCACGCCUGCCUGGGCGUCACGC
RNAcentral lists this ribosomal RNA (163 nucleotides) under Hypochaeris sessiliflora (chikku chikku). Its description in RNAcentral is "5.8S ribosomal RNA". It matches the Rfam family "5.8S ribosomal RNA". Rfam says of the family: 5.8S ribosomal RNA (5.8S rRNA) is a component of the large subunit of the eukaryotic ribosome. It is transcribed by RNA polymerase I as part of the 45S precursor that also contains 18S and 28S rRNA. Lineage: Eukaryota; Viridiplantae; Streptophyta; Magnoliopsida; Asterales; Asteraceae. The record is from RNAcentral.